GCUAACUUUCACCCAGUCGGAAGUUAAGCAACAGAUCCACAAUUUCCCCCUUUCCUAAUGGGAAAGGUUUAUAGCCGGUCGACUGGCCGAGAGCGUUCGGCCGGUCCCCUUGCUCGCGUCGCUGGGCAGCCCAGCCCACCAAUCACAGAAUUUAUCUCUAACCCCACCACUUUCAUCUUAUCCUCUCGCUCUUUCUGGAGACCACACGAGGCAUCCUCGUCCUGCUCGCCCUUCAGUCCCCAAGUUCUCAAUCUCUCCUCCUCCUUCCUGUGUUCUCUCCAAAAUCCACACCUAAUCCCCAUGAAAUUGAGCUCGUUUUUGUUGCCUUCUCUGCUCCGCGCAACAUUUUUCCUCCAUAGAUCCAUGAGAGGGCGUGCAAAGGGCAGGACGACCGUGAUGCAAGCUCGUGCACCCGCUGUGUUACCAUGGUGUGCAACGGCGGAGACCGGUGCCGGCUGGGGCAGCGAUGCAGGAAACGGCACACCUCGUUGCUGGAACCGGCCGACUGGAAAGCUGCAACCGGCAUCCGUUGAUGCUGGAACCAGUAAUCAUUUUUGCUACCACAGGCGUUUGGUUUUGUUGGAACCACCGCCAAAUUUGUGGCGAUGGCUUUCUUUUUGCUGCAACCGUCUCGGAUUUUUUGCUACUACAGGAGUUGCCAUUUUGCUACUACCAGAGCCUUGCUCGAAGCAUCAGGAGUUUUUGCUUCGCCAGCGGCGGCUAGGCUGCGAGCACCGACGGCGAGCAGAAGCAACGAGGGUCCAAAGGAGGGCAGCGGGGGCUAGCGUGCGGGAUCCCGCGAGCGGCGGCGGCGCUCGCUCCCCCCCCCUUUUCCCUUUGCGGAGGAUGACGAAAGGGGAUGCGGGACAGAUCUGACGGUCCCGCGCGUCCAGAUCGAGCGGCUCGGGUUGGACCGGCCGAAACUUUGCGCCGGUGCGCCGGCGCAGAGUACUGCCCUUUCCUAAUUUGCAUGCAUGCAUUAGCUUCAUCUUAUUUCUUUUCUCUGUGCGUGUCCACUGUCUAGUAGCAGUUAAUUAGCAGCUACUAAUCGUAUACGUGCAGAAAAAACAAAAUUGAUGAUGUCAUAAAAAAUUCUUCCUAAUGCGAAAAUUCAAAAUAUUUUGUAGCUCAAAUCGUCGCUCCGAUUGAAAAACCGUUUCACAUAAAAGAUUUGUCGCGAGAAGAUCUUCGAAACAAGAUCCCAUAUUAAUAUAUUGUCAAUGGGCUUGCGCAUUUGGGGUUUCACCCCAACCGGUUUUGGGAAGGUUCUAGAACCUACCCUGAAUCGGGUUUAUCUGGUUCUCUUUUGGUUUUUUUUUCUUUCUUGUUCAUUUUUCUUUUUUUGUUCCUUUUUUGUUUCCUUUUUGUUUUUCUUUUCCUUUCUGUUUUUCUGUUUUCGUUUUUGUUCUUGUUUUUUUAAUUUGCGAAAGUCAUCUAAAUUCGUGAAUAUUUUUUAAAGUCGCAAACAUUUUAUGAAAUGAUGAACAUUUUUAAAGUCGUGUUUUCUUUUUACAAUUCAUCAACAAUAUCUUAAAUCAUGAACAUUUUUUGAAACUCACAAACAUAUUUUUUGAAAAUGUGAACAUUUUUUUAAAAUCAUGAAUAUUUUUUCAAAUUCGCAAAAUAUUUUUCUCGAAACCUUGAAUAUUUUUUGAAUCAUGAAUAUUUCUUAAAUUCACGGUCAUUUUUUUUUUUGAAAUCAUGAAAUAUUAUUAAAUUUGUGAUUAUUUUUUUUACAAAUUUGUGAACAUUUUUGGAAAUCGCGAACAUCUUUUGAAAUCAUGAACAUCUUUUGAAAUCGCGAACAUUUUUUGAAACCAUGAUAAUUUUUUUCAAAUUUUUGAAACCAUGAACAUCUUUGGAAAUCCUGAACAUUUUUUGAAAUCGUGAACAUUUUUUUGAAAUCAUGAACAUGUUUUUACAAAUUCGUGGACUUUCUAUUUAACCGUGAAUGUUUUUUGAAUUCCUGAACAAUUUUUUUUUAUAUUAUGAAAAUUUUCUGAAUUCAUGAUCAUUUUAUUCAAAAUUUGUAGCCUUUUCUGAAAUUUAGAACCUUUUGAUAUCCUGAAUUACUGAAAAAGAAAAGAAGAAAAGGAGUAGAAGUGAAAAAAAAGGCGUUGUUCCGGCCCACACUUAGUUUGCAUAUGUAGGUGUGGUUUACUUAGUGCCUUCCCGUCUCCAUUGUAACCACCGUCGAUCGCCGGCACCGUCCCGUCGCCGGCACCACCUUGUGGUGAGCCUCUUGUUC
Long non-coding RNA from Aegilops tauschii subsp. strangulata, 2248 nucleotides. RefSeq lists it as uncharacterized. Lineage: Eukaryota; Viridiplantae; Streptophyta; Magnoliopsida; Poales; Poaceae. The record is from RefSeq and is a predicted model, not a curated record.